Molecule: transfer RNA, 69 nt
Filed under: Gymnopis multiplicata
Lineage: Eukaryota; Metazoa; Chordata; Amphibia; Gymnophiona; Dermophiidae
Description: tRNA-Asp
Source: RNAcentral
AAGAUGUUAGUAAAUACAUUACACUGCCUUGUCAAGACAGAAUAAUAAAUUAAACCUUUAUACAUCUUA